RNAcentral lists this ribosomal RNA (253 nucleotides) under uncultured bacterium. Its description in RNAcentral is "partial 16S ribosomal RNA". It matches the Rfam family "Bacterial small subunit ribosomal RNA", at positions 524 to 776 of the family's 1533-position model. The record is from RNAcentral.
UACGAAGGGGGCGAGCGUUGUUCGGAAUUCCUGGGCGUAAAGGGCGCGUAGGCGGUCCUUCAAGUCAGGCGUGAAAGCCCCGGGCUCAACCUGGGAACCGCGCUUGAGACUGGCGGACUCGAGUUCGGGAGAGGAUGGUGGAAUUCCCAGUGUAGAGGUGAAAUUCGUAGAUAUUGGGAAGAACACCGAUGGCGAAGGCAGCCAUCUGGACCGACACUGACGCUGAGGCGCGAAAGCGUGGGGAGCAAACAGG